UCUUGUUGUGUAUUAAGUUCCGAAUUGAAUUGACGUUUUGCAUAAAACGUCUUGCAAACAGCGAUAUUGCAAAGGCAAUAUCUCGGGCUGUAUGAUUCCAAACUAAGUUCCGUUUGCUGGUACGGAAACUUUGGGAUGUUAACUACAAUUGUCUAGUUUUAAUAUUUCUCUAAUUCUGCCUCUAAGAUGGUCAUCUGAGGCAAAACAUUUUUGUGUGCAGUCUGAACUGUUAUUCUGGACAGCUUGAGGUUUUAACUUCGAAGCUUGUUUUCGACACCUUCGAGUGCAUUUCAUGGUCCGAGACCUAAACAAAAGUUGUAGGCGACGUUCUAAACUAUAAGAAUGUCACUUUUGUUUAGAGGUCGGAUUAUUUUAGAUAAGCGUUUUGAUAGCCAAAGUGAGCUACAAAACAACCUUUAAAUAGAAAAUUGGAGAUGAGAAUUGUUAUUUAUUGCGCUAUUAUCGUAAUUGCGUAGAUUCGACGAGGCGACUAUCGACGGAGUUCAAAGUUCUUGAAUCGAGAUUAACGCUUUGCUUGAUUAGAGUAAAUGGAUAGCAAGUGGGAUGGUAUGAUAUGAUUUGAAGAGUUAAGCUUCCGAAGUUUUAAUUCUCGGAAGUCAUUUGUAUAAGAAGAAAAAGAAGGUUUUCAUUCUAGCAGUCCGCAGUAGUCUAGAUAUUUUAACUAGAAUUUUGUAUAACGCGUUUUUAACUCUGAUAUUAUUUGUAAAUGGGGUCACAUGUAUUUUAAUAUAUGAAAUAUGUUUUGA
Molecule: long non-coding RNA, 767 nt
Organism: Mercurialis annua (annual mercury)
Lineage: Eukaryota; Viridiplantae; Streptophyta; Magnoliopsida; Malpighiales; Euphorbiaceae
Exons: 2
Source: RefSeq, a predicted model, not a curated record